CCUACGGGGGGCAGCAGUGAGGAAUAGUGGUCAAUGGACGAGAGUCUGAACCAGCCAAGUAGCGUGAAGGAUGAAGGCCCUAUGGGUUGUAAACUUCUUUUAUAAAGGAAUAAAACGAGGCACGUGUGCCUUUUUGCAUGGACCUUAUGAAAAAGGAUCGGCUAACUCCGUGCCAGCAGCCGCGGUAAUACGGAGGAUCCGGGCGUUAUCCGGAUUUAUUGGGGUUAAAGGGGGCGGAGUUGGGUUUGUAAGUCAGUUGUGAAAGUUUGCGGCUCACCCGUAAGAUUGCCAUUGAUACUGGCAGUCUUGAGUACACUUGAGGUAGGCGGAAUUCGUGGUGUCGCGGU
Molecule: ribosomal RNA, 347 nt
Filed under: uncultured bacterium
Lineage: Bacteria
Description: partial 16S ribosomal RNA
Rfam family: Bacterial small subunit ribosomal RNA
Source: RNAcentral